RNAcentral lists this ribosomal RNA (466 nucleotides) under uncultured bacterium. Its description in RNAcentral is "partial 16S ribosomal RNA". It matches the Rfam family "Bacterial small subunit ribosomal RNA", at positions 339 to 795 of the family's 1533-position model. The record is from RNAcentral.
CUACGGGUGGCUGCAGUGAGGAAUAUUGCGCAAUGGGGGAAGCCCUGACGCAGCGACGCCGCGUGGAUGAUGAAGGCCUUCGGGUUGUAAAAUCCUGUCAGAUGGGAAGAACUGUUACAUGUCUAAUAUAUGUGUAACCUGACGGUACCAUCAAAGGAAGCACCGGCUAACUCCGUGCCAGCAGCCGCGGUAAUAGCGGAGGGUGCAAGCGUUGUUCGGAAUUACUGGGCGUAAAGCGCGCGUAGGCGGCUAUGUAAGUCAGAUGUGAAAGCCCAUGGCUUAACCAUGGACGUGCAUUUGAUACUGCAUGGCUUGAGUACUGGAGGGGGUGGUGGAAUUCCCGGUGUAGAGGUGAAAUUCGUAGAUAUCGGGAGGAAUACCGGUGGCGAAGGCGACCACCUGGCCAGAUACUGACGCUGAGGUGCGAAAGCGUGGGGAGCAAACAGGAUUAGAUACCCUAGUAGUC